UACAUGGGGUGCAAACGUUGCUCGGAAUUAUUGGGCGUAAAGCGCACGUAGGCGGUUCGUUAAGUCGGAUGUGAAAGCCCUCGGCUCAACUGAGGAAGUGCACCCGAAACUGGCGAGCUUGAGUACGAAAGAGGAUCGCGGAAUUCCCGGUGUAGAGGUGAAAUUCGUAGAUAUCGGGAGGAACACCGGUGGCGAAGGCGGGUCUCUGGGCCGUAACUGACGCUGAGGAGCGAAAGCGUGGGAGCAAACAGG
Molecule: ribosomal RNA, 252 nt
Filed under: uncultured bacterium
Lineage: Bacteria
Description: partial 16S ribosomal RNA
Rfam family: Bacterial small subunit ribosomal RNA
Source: RNAcentral